Molecule: ribosomal RNA, 638 nt
Filed under: Shigella sonnei
Lineage: Bacteria; Pseudomonadati; Pseudomonadota; Gammaproteobacteria; Enterobacterales; Enterobacteriaceae
Description: partial 23S ribosomal RNA
Rfam family: Bacterial large subunit ribosomal RNA
Source: RNAcentral
CUCCUCCUAAAGAGUAACGGAGGAGCACGAAGGUUGGCUAAUCCUGGUCGGACAUCAGGAGGUUAGUGCAAUGGCAUAAGCCAGCUUGACUGCGAGCGUGACGGCGCGAGCAGGUGCGAAAGCAGGUCAUAGUGAUCCGGUGGUUCUGAAUGGAAGGGCCAUCGCUCAACGGAUAAAAGGUACUCCGGGGAUAACAGGCUGAUACCGCCCAAGAGUUCAUAUCGACGGCGGUGUUUGGCACCUCGAUGUCGGCUCAUCACAUCCUGGGGCUGAAGUAGGUCCCAAGGGUAUGGCUGUUCGCCAUUUAAAGUGGUACGCGAGCUGGGUUUAGAACGUCGUGAGACAGUUCGGUCCCUAUCUGCCGUGGGCGCUGGAGAACUGAGGGGGGCUGCUCCUAGUACGAGAGGACCGGAGUGGACGCAUCACUGGUGUUCGGGUUGUCAUGCCAAUGGCACUGCCCGGUAGCUAAAUGCGGAAGAGAUAAGUGCUGAAAGCAUCUAAGCACGAAACUUGCCCCGAGAUGAGUUCUCCCUGACCCUUUAAGGGUCCUGAAGGAACGUUGAAGACGACGACGUUGAUAGGCCGGGUGUGUAAGCGCAGCGAUGCGUUGAGCUAACCGGUACUAAUGAACCGUGAGG